AACAGGAUUAGAUACCCUGGUAGUCCACGCUGUAAACGAUGUCGACUUGGAGGUUGUGCCCUUGAGGCGUGGCCUCCGGAGCUAACGCGUUAAGUCGACCGCCUGGGGAGUACGGCCGCAAGGUUAAAACUCAAAUGAAUUGACGGGGGCCCGCACAAGCGGUGGAGCAUGUGGUUUAAUUCGAUGCAACGCGAAGAACCUUACCUACUCUUGACAUCCAGAGAAUUUGCUAGAGAUAGCUUAGUGCCUUCGGGAACUCUGAGACAGGUGCUGCAUGGCUGUCGUCAGCUCGUGUUGUGAAAUGUUGGGUUAAGUCCCGCAACGAGCGCAACCCUUAUCCUUUGUUGCCAGCGAGUCAUGUCGGGAACUCAAAGGAGACUGCCGGUGAUAAACCGGAGGAAGGUGGGGAUGACGUCAAGUCAUCAUGGCCCUUACGAGUAGGGCUACACACGUGCUACAAUGGCAUAUACAAAGAGAAGCGGACUCGCGAGAGCAAGCGGACCUCAUAAAGUAUGUCGUAGUCCGGAUUGGAGUCUGCAACUCGACUCCAUGAAGUCGGAAUCGCUAGUAAUCGUAGAUCAGAAUGCUACGGUGAAUACGUUCCCGGGCCUUGUACACACCGCCCGUCACACCAUGGGAGUGGGUUGCAAAAGAAGUAGGUAGCUUAACCUUCGGGAGGGCGCUUACCACUUUGUGAUUCAUGACUGGGGUGAAGUCGUAACAAGGUAACC
This 731-nucleotide ribosomal RNA is filed under the name uncultured bacterium. RNAcentral describes it as "bacterial SSU rRNA". It matches the Rfam family "Bacterial small subunit ribosomal RNA", at positions 771 to 1501 of the family's 1533-position model. The record is from RNAcentral.